This 42-nucleotide small RNA is filed under the name Chattonella subsalsa. RNAcentral's name for it is "partial Mitochondrion-encoded tmRNA". The record is from RNAcentral. Lineage: Eukaryota; Raphidophyceae; Chattonellales; Chattonellaceae.
UGCGGCUUUUGGCAUUUUCAUUUCUCUUUGGGGAAUAUUAAU